UACGGAGGGUGCCAGCGUUAUCCGGAUUCACUGGGUUUAAAGGGUGCGUAGGCGGGCAGGUAAGUCCGUGGUGAAAUCUCUGAGCUUAACUCAGAAACUGCCAUGGAUACUAUUUGUCUUGAAUAUUGUGGAGGUAAGCGGAAUAUGUCAUGUAGCGGUGAAAUGCUUAGAUAUGACAUAGAACACCAAUUGCGAAGGCAGCUUACUACACAGUUAUUGACGCUGAGGCACGAAAGCGUGGGGAUCAAACAGG
RNAcentral lists this ribosomal RNA (253 nucleotides) under uncultured bacterium. RNAcentral's name for it is "partial 16S ribosomal RNA". It matches the Rfam family "Bacterial small subunit ribosomal RNA", at positions 524 to 776 of the family's 1533-position model. The record is from RNAcentral.